AUAUUUGGCCUUGUUGAUGAGCUUGGUAUCGCUCCUUUCACAAACUGGACAGCACCUGCUCAUUAUUCAGUUGACGGGUUGGAGGUAGAUAAUACAUGAUAAUUUUUUCAAUCAUUGAUGAAAUACCGAGACUCUCUGAUUGAUAAAUUAAUUUCCAAUAGUUCCAAGUUUCAUAUUAGUCCAUGUACAUUUAUGUGUUCUUUGAUCUUACAGUUAAUUAGCUUUGAGGCUUGUUACUUUGAAUUGUGUUGUGAAUCGUGAUGUGAUGUAGUUCUUGUGUAGGUAAAAUUUCCACUAUUCCAAGAUCUGCCUCAACUGCCAACGCCUCUCGGAACCUUAAUUUAUCCAGAAGUAUGGAUAGCUUCAAGUUUUCAUGACUUCACAAUUAAUUGCAUAUUUUAAAAUGGUCUUAUGAAAAUCACCCUUUUGGUUCUUUUGGUCACAGUUCCCCCAGCUCCCGUUGGUGGAUAGGUUAACAUCACUUCCUUUGAUGGCUGCAGGUGCAUUUCUUUCACAUAUCUUUCAAUAUAGAUAGUUCACGAUGUGUAGAAAAAUUUGACAUUAAAAAUGAAAUUUCCAACUAAAGCAUUCUCAACUGGUUGAGGUAGAUUUUCUUGACCAAAAGGUCAACAUGUUCGAUUCCCCCCUUUGGUUAGUUCCUAGUAUGCUUUCUUGUGUGAAAAAGAACAUAAAAUGUUGGAUUUUUUCUAAUACAAUAAGUUAAAGCACGAUUAUAAUUCAUGGUAAUUGUGAUUUUUAAUUGUAGCAAACGCAUACCAUGUACAACACACUAACUUCUAAAUUUCCAAUGCAUUCUUUAUUCUAUUUUGAUCAUCCAUCAUUGAAGGUCAACGCAGGAAUAUAUUUGUUACAAGUGAUUUAUGCAUUUCUCCCACUUCUUUAUUUGGCUGAAUUUGUUUCUUUCAGUUAUUGACUUUGACAAUACGGAUACGGCAUGGAGAAAAUAUGACUCAAGUAAUACCUUUGUCACCUGUGUAGACUCUUGGUAGUGGACUAAUGCAAAUUGAAGUGUCUGAUCAAUAGUUGUUUCUCGCCAAUAGUUACCGCCAGGGAGCUAUUCAGGCAGUUUGGCUGUUCAGAAAAGCUCUAUAGUAGCAUACUCAAUCCAUUGCUUCAAGUAGGAUUAUAUGCUCCAGCCGAGCAGUGCAGUGCUGCAGCAACCUUGGGAAUUUUAUACUACACUAUCCUUGCUCACCAGGUUUGGAGAAUCAAGUUACUCCAACCAACACUCCUGCUUCUUCUGUUGUUAAUAAUUUCAAUGUUCUGUACUCUAAACUCGUGGAUGCAUGCAGAAUGAUUUCAAUCUAGUUUGGUGCCGUGGAACUGCUAAAGAAAUGAUUUUCCAGCCAUGGAUAGACUUGCUGGAGAGCAAGGGAUGUAGAUUUGUUGGGAGUAGAAAAAUAACAGAUGUAACUGUAGAUGAUGAAACAAACUGUCUAUCGGACAUUCUUUGUGGCAGAGAAAGAUAUGAGGCCGAUGCAAUUGUAUUUGCUGUUGGAAUUUCUGUACUCCAAGAACUCAUUCGUAAUUCGUAUGGUUCCAUCUCCCCUUAAACAACAGUGCAGGUUACGUAGUUAUUAUUGUUGCCUGUUUUUGGUUUGUCUAUAACUGUUCUGGUUGUCCUUGUCGCUUGUUCUGUUUAGUGCAGCAUUAUACACAAAAGAGGAGUUCGUCAAGGUUUUAAACUUGAGAAGUGUUGAUUUGCUCACUGUUAAACUUUGGUUUGAUAGAAAAGUAAGUAAAAUGAUAAGAAACUAAUUUCAUUGAACAAACUGCAAAGUUUAAAAAAAGUAUCCUUAAAUUCUUUCUGAAGAAUUCUACAUGAUGGAGCCUUGUUAAUACAAUCUCAAACAGGUAAAUAUUCCAACUGCAAGUAAUUCUUGCUCGACCUUGGAUAAUUCAUUUGGGUGGAGUUUCUUCAACUUAAAUGCCAUUCAAGACGAAUACAAAGACGAAUCAGUUACAGUGUUGCAAGCUGACUUUGUGAGUAUAAGAACACCCUCUCCCGCCACUAGUUUAUAAAUUUUCCUUCUGUACUUUAAAAGGUUACAAUCAUCUUUUCCACAAACAGUAUCACGCCAUAGAGCUGUUGCCACUAAAUGAUGAAGCUAUCGUUGAAAAGGUCAAAUCUUACCUCUCAACAUGCAUUAAAGACUUUGAGAAUGCCAUCGUGGUGAAGAAGGAAAUCGGAAGGUUUCCAGAAUCAUUAACUCACUUCUUUCCUGGUAUAUAAAACCACAACUUACGUUUGGUUCAAUUAUCACUUUGCAAACUUUUUGUUUCAUUUGUGGCUGUCUGAUUCUCCAAAAGGUUCAUACAAAUACAUGAUGCGCGGCUUUACAUCGUUCCCAAACGUGUUCAUGGCUGGAGAUUGGAUCAUAAACCGUCACGGAUCGUGGUCACAGGUUCGUAUCUACAAGUCUUUCCUUUGCUGAUAUGUGAUGAUCAUUUUGUUAUUGGAUGUGUUGAUGACUUGAACAGGAGAAAUCAUAUGUGACUGGCCUUGAAGCUGCAAAUAGAGUGGUGGAUUUUCUUGAAGAAGGAAGUUUUGCUAAAAUUGUGCCAGUAGAGGAAGAUGAGCCUCAUGUGGAGGCUCUUCGUGGUCUCAAUAGAAGGAUUGAUGAGAUUAGAUCCCAACUCCCAUUCAACGGGUUCUUCCUCUAAUGAAUCAACAGAGAAACAAUAAAGUUUAGUCUUAAUAAUUUUGCAAUAGUUUCAAGAAUAGUUACACAAAAGAAAACAUUUGAGGAUUUAAUUAUAAGUAACUUUCAUUUAUUAAAACUCGACCUAUUUGUCAAGGGUAUAUGUCCAAAUCGAGUACUGAGUUAUUCUUAUUCUGGCUAGUUACAAGGAUUUUGAUAAUUUGGAUCGGUUUACUUUAACUUCUAUUGAAUAAUAUUUAACGUGCUCUUUGUAAUGAUAAAAAUUAGUUCUAUAUCACUUGGAACAUAUUGUUAAAGGUGAUUUACCCAUAUUCCUAGUGUUUGUGGAGAAAGGGUUCAAAUGUUUACGUCUUAAUUCAACUCAUUGCAUCUUUAUUAUUUAUUUGUUUUUCUAAAAAACAUUGUCCUUCACCAUUGGUUUUGGAUUAUCAUGGUGUUUUGUUCCUUCAACUUUUAAUGAUUUCAAACAUGAGUUUUAAGAAAAAGAUUAAAAACUUCCUAAAUGACGGUAGAUAAAUGUAAAUCGUUAAAACUCAUUUAAAAAAUAUACUUAAACUUUAAUUAAAACAUUAUUUUUAGUCUCAAAUAUUCUCGGAGUUAGAUUAACUCAUCAAAACUAAUUUUAAAUCAAAUUAUAUAGAAUUAACUAAAUUAUGUUUUCUGAUUGUGCGAAUGAGAAAGUUAAUUGGAUUAAUCUAUAAUCUAUUUAUCGCAUCAAUUUAAGUGUUUUCUCGUUAUAUAUAUUAAUUUUUAAAAUACUACGAAAAACUUUAAAUUUCUUAAUAGUUUUCUAAAAUACUAUGAAGAACUUUAAAUUUCUUAAUGAAAACUGUUGUAACUAUAAAAUUGUAACAAAAUAUAAGAAAAUUUUAGAAUCUAAACUUAUAGAUAAUUUUUUUGGUUAUAUUUUUGUAAAUAUUUCGUUGCAUUUCCUAUUUUUAGUAUAUUUAUGCAUUUUGUUUAUAUAGCGUAGAAGUCGCGCCAUGGAUAUAUCCACCGGAUCCGCCGGUGGCGACUGCCGUUGCUGCCUCUGCGCGAUGCAAGCCACCAUAGGAGUUCGCCCUGUUGUAUGCUCGUUGGUGCCCCGAAAUCCCGAUAUCCCGAGACGCUGGUUUGCAUCUUCUAGGGCCUUUUUUAUGUACUAGUUCUUUAGCGUACUGGAUAAUUAGUGAUCGUUUCACUUCUUUGAUUUUAUCGCCGAAUCAAUGUGCCCAGAUAAUUCGUAUGUAGAUCAACAUUAUUGAAUUUCAAUCAAGCUGACGUUAAUCGCACCUCUAAUUCUACCUCACGGAAGCUUAAUUCCUGCUAGAUUAUGGAUAGAGAUGUAGUACAGUGUAGGUACUUAUAGAUUUCCUAUCGUUUUGACUUUGGGGAAAGAGAGUAGGUCUUAGCAUGUGUGCUGGAAGCCUGUAGAGUAUAGGAAGGACCUUGGGAAUUGUACCAUGCUAAUAGAGCGAGAUUCUCAGAGUUCCGACAAUAUAAUUUGUACGGCUUGCGGCUUGAUUUUGUUGGUUUUUGAUCUUGAAAAUGGAGAGGAAUCCAUUAUUGGGUCGGAAACUCACGGUAAAGAUUAGAAGAUGGUUAUGAAUUGAGAACAUUUUAGUUCUUUUUCACAAUUUUGAAGUUGAUGGGAAACUGUGGUUGUUCUUUAUGUACUUGUCUACAAUUUAUGGAGGUGUUCUUAUUAACUAAUAACAUUUUUUAUUUUAGGUAUUUUUCAUCAUUUUCAAGUUGAUGGGAAACUGUGGUUGUUCUUUAUUGACUUGUAUACAACUUUUGGAGGCAUUCUUAUGGACUUUCAUUGUCGUAUGUACGUGUGUCAUCAAACCUUUUGUUCGUUUUUUUUCAGUACUGGAAACUUAUAUGAACCCCUGAACCAUAUCUUUAAAGCCUAAACCAUUACAAAAUACUAUCUUCAGGCAAGUUCUUGUCGCUUUUGGUUGCAGCUGAAAACUUUUGAUGUUGUGUGCUCUGCUUUAUAAAAUUUGAGUUCUUUUUCUGUCUGCUGACUUGUUUCCACUGAUAAAACAAAUAAAUCCCGAAGCAAAAAAUUGAGUUAUUUCUCAUUAAUCAACAUCAGUACGUAGAAUCCACUGGUUAUGAAACCGUAUAUUGCAAGAUUGAUAUGAUUAGAGUACUCGUUUGGAUCUGAUAAAGUUGUUCUGCUUAAGAUUUUAGUGCUUAUGAGAUUUUUUCCCCCAAAGCUGACUAAUAUAAUUUGUGCUAAAAGAGCCUUUCCAUGUGGGCCUAAUUGUUUUUUCACCAUCAUUAUCCAUUUUGUGUUGCUUAAGUUUUUCUGUUCUUUCAUUGAUUGGGGUAGUGCAUUAUUAGGCAGUCCUGAGUAUACUUCACUGGCUCCCUCUACGAUUGAUCUUUUCCAAUUUUCAGAUCAUUUUGAUUCUCAUCUUCUCAGUUACCUUGUUUUGAUCUGUAAACAUGUUCAAAAUUUUGUUGGUUUCAUUUCUAGUUUGUUUGAAUAAAACCAUUUGAACAAGAAACAUCACAUCAUCACACCAAGUUGCCAUUCAAUAAAGUGUUUGUCUAAAAAGAAAAAGGUAAGAGAGAGAAUAGCAAAUUUGCAGGUAAGUUUACUCUAUGAAGAUCAGAGUUCUGAAAGCAGCCCCCCCACCAGGAAAAAAUAGAAAAGAGAAAGCAAAACAAAAAGUGGUACAGAUUUAAUUACAGUCCCCUAUUGCUACUUACGUCACAUCAGAUGUAUUACUGACUUUGUGUUUUUCCUCUCUUCUUUAUCCUCUCUCUCUAUCUCCUUGGAUUUUCCCUUGCAGGAAUGAUAAAUGAAGCCUUUUCAAACUGCAGGUCACUCCCAACCCAACUAACAGUCAUCAUGCAACGCCCAACCUUCUACAGCUUCAAUGGCAGCUUUUGCUAGAGAGAUCAAAGUUAAGGCUUUGGUGGACAGUCCCACCUACAUGUCUAAAACGAGUUGUGCCACUGCCACCAUCUAUGGAUGCUUGGUUGUUAAUCACUUAUUCACCGAAAGAAGAGUGAAUCAAUGUAGAUUUGGUUGUACGGACGGCGACAAUCCUGAGGUGAGUAUUUAAACAAGAAAGAUACUUAAGGAGGACUUGCUACAUCUAUCUUUGUGCAUCACACCGUGGUUUGUUACAUGACAAAUAUUUUUUAAAAUAUUUAUUUUGUGUAUGGAUGAGAGUCAUAGAAAUAGAUUUAUUGAGAGAAUAAAUUUUAAAUUUGCUUUUAUGUGAUAUGAAAAACAGUUAGAAUUUAGUGUCUGAUUUGAUAAAGUUUUAUCAAAUGAGAAGGAAUAGAUUUUAACUUUCUCCAAAUCCGUAGACUAAACCAUUACCAUUUUUGGAGCAACUAUUAGUGCAGUUGGGUCCUUUUUUUCUUUCUUAUUGGUAAUCUAAGUGAAAAUUAUUUGUAAAAGUUUAAUGGCUUUUGUGAAGUUCUUGUAUUGUUAAUCAAAUUCUAAAGGGAAAUCUUGUACUUUAUGUCAAUCAUUCCUUCCAUAUCUGAUGAAGAAAAAAAGGCUAUUUUGCUUUCUACUUUUUACAAGUUUAAGAAACCAAUCUAAUGCUAAAUACGGAGGCAAACAACAUUUGAUUGGUGAGUUUGAAAGAUUAGAGUUUUGAGUAUAUAGAUGUGUUGUCUUUUCUAUUCUACUUAAACUCAUGAUAUAUUAUUUCAGCAUAAAUAUUAAAACAAACAUGUGGACUAAAUUAUUACAAAGAGACCAAAAGUGAUUUUAACCAUAUAAUAGAGUAUCUGAGGCCUACUUUCCAUUUUAUCUGUAUUGUUACAACAUUUCUAAAGUUUAUGUUAUUUUUUGUCUAUCAUCAUUGGCACUUCUUUAAUGUACAUGACACAUGUGACGAUCAUUGAAGAUCUACUUAUGGGAUUAUUGUAUCUAGCUACUUAUGGGAUUUUCUUACAUCCCACACUAUCUUUUACUAUUAUUAUUUAAUUGGACCCGUACAUCUUGCUUCUCUCUUUCAUCUCUACUUUGGUAUUUUUUGGAUCUUUAAGUUUUAAAAUGUUAUAGUGUUAUCCUUACUUUUUGUUUUCAUUUCAUUUAAGGUUUACAUUUCUACCCUUAAUAUUUUACAAAAAUAAAAUAAUUCACUUUCAUAUUUGUAUUCGGUAACUAAUAGUUAAUUUAGAUGAAUUAUAAUUAAAUAAAUUUUCACUAAUCUCCUUGUCACCAUUGCAAUUAAUUUAAAAUAUUUGCAUCAUAACUAUUCUUAAUCAAUCAAAGGAAAAAUAAUGCCAAAAAUCAAAUUUGAGUAAUUUUCACAUAUAAUGUUUAUUUUUAUUUUUUUUUACAAUUUAACCCAAGUAAAUUUUGGAAUUGGAAUUAGAACAUAUUGAUUAUAGUUACUUUUCUUAAAAGUUAAGUUGAAGUAUUGGAAAUCUACAAACUAUGGUCUUGAUUUGAUGUGUAGACAAGUUAAACUCAAUCUUACCACUUUUUACCAGUGAUGGAUGUGAAGGUUAGUUUGGUCUUUUCAUUUCUUUUAACUUGUUUAAAUAUAACUUAGAGAUUUGUGUUUGAGUCACCUUAUUCUUAUUGCAGUGAAAAACAAAAAUAAACAAUGUAAUAAUUUAGAUUUUUUAAGUUCGCUAUGUCAAAAACCAAUAUCAAAUAAUUUAUAUGCAACUUGUUUUCAACAAAAAAAAAAAAAAAAACAAUAUCAAACUUAAUAGAUAAUAUUAAAGUGAGCAUAAUUUAACCCAACUGUAAUUCAUAUACCAAUCUUUUUACACCCAACUUGGGUAGUGAAAAAAGAGAUUAAAAAAUAAUUUAGAUUCUAACUUAACUAAUUUGUUGCAUUUAAAAUCUUAAAGUUGAUCAACCCGAUUUUCUUUUUUUGAUUGAAAAGACGAUAACAAGUACAUGGUGGAGGGUUGAACCUCUAGUUGUUAAGAAUGGAGGUUAUGCUAGUACUGUUGAGUUAAAUUCAUUUUGACACAGUUUAGUUUUAUGUAACUUGUGAUAUUGACUAACUUGUUGCACAAUAGAAUAAAAUGUAGUAUUGUUGUUUGUGCCAUAUUUUUAUGAAGAAAUGUGUUUCGUAAAAUUGAAUUUGUGUUUAUGUUUAUUUGAUGUGAUGUGAUUCGAUAUUUAGAACUACUCAUCUCAUUUACUCUCGAUAGAUGCGUACGCUUGAUGUAUUGAAAUGGAGCGUUUGGACAUUCUUGAGAAAUUGGAAUUUUUGAAGAAUGGUAUAUCCAAUAACUUAGUCUUCAAAAGUGAUUAACUUUAUGAGUACUGUUCGAAAAAUUCUUUUCAACUCCUUGGAAUAUAAAAUUUCUAACCCUUCAAAUGAAUAAUAACUUUUUAUUUAUAAAGUUUUUAGGUGUACUUUGUCGAUUUGAACUUAGUUAGUUCAUACAUCUAACACUUUGACCCAAUUAAUUGAAUUUUGGUUUUAUUUCUAAUAUAUGUAUUCAAUUUCAAUUUAGAACACUUGUCAAUUAAUUGGUUUCAAAUAUGAUGAUUUGUAAUUUCAUCAUUAAUGACAACUUGUGAUUGAUUCAAAAUUUCCCAUUUAACGAGUACGUAUUAAAAAAAUGAACCGUACAUCAUAUGAAGAAAUUUUUGUAUGGUAGUAUAGUAUAUAUAUUCAUUCAAUCCAAAUAAUAUAUCAUGUAACAUAAUAAAUGUUUGACAACAAUAAUAUUAGUCAUACAAAGUUAUCCUACCAACUAAAAACAUUCCUUGUUCCAUUACAAAAAAUGAGAGAUCUUCCAACGCAUAAAACUGUCGGGAGAUAUACAAAAAUGUAUCGAGAGUUUGUUUAUUAUUAUUAUUUUUUAAUUCCCAAUCAAAUUUGUUCUUCUUCCUCCUCUGCAAGAAAUAAAAAAAUAUUGAGAGGAUUGAAUUAUUGCUUGUGUGAAAAAAGAGUCCAAGCAAAUAAACCAUGCAACAGUAAAAUUAGUAGCAUUUUGUUCUUCUGAUAUACUGAUAAUUACAUUGCAUAGUUUAGAUCAUAUAAGAAUGAUGGUCUAAAACUUGGUCAAUAUUUUAUCCAUAUAUCAAGAAAAAACUACCUUGCAUGAUUUUAGCAAUGGUUGUAAGAAUGUUGAUAUGCAAAAACUAAGAUCGAUCGACCAUUCAACGAUGGAACAAAGAAAAACAUCAAAUCUGCAAGAACGCCCAAAGAAAAAUUAGGGCAAAAUUUAAAUAUAGCUUAAACUUACCCGAAGAGAUAGAGGCGGCAACGGUACCGAAAAAGACGAGGACGACGGUGGGUUAUCGCGCCGCUCAUUAUCUUUAGUCUUCUCUUCGCAUACCAUUUGUUCUCUCUCAAACCCCUCUUCGCAUAUAUGUGAAACAAAUUAUAAGAGAGAUUUUAAAUGGGAACUGUCAACACUAAUUUUGCAUCGGGAGAGGACCUAUCACAUAGACUUACUUAAGUUUGUCUGUAAACUACAGAUACUUUCGUACGCUCUCCCAUUGUUAUAUAUACUAAUCAUUUUUUUAUAGUGUUUAUUCAUAGAUUAGUAAAUAUAUCUGUCAACAUCAGCACAAAACAUCUAUAACUAAUGCUUGUACUAUCAAUGUCAAAGUUAAAGGUUCAAUUUGACCAUCCCACGUAGUGUAAAGAAAAAAACCUUGUAAUUAUAUUGUGUGUGAAAACAACUAUUAAAACUAAUACUUAAUAAAAUGUUAACUCUAUCGCAUUGUCUUGAAAAAAACUCUUCGAUUAAGUUUCAAUAUAACUCGUCAAAUAAAAUAAAGGAAAAUUGCGCUAGAUGACAGGAAAAUUUAGAAAAAAAAGUAACUCAUAGCACAUACUUUUUGCAAAUUGCAAACAUGAUAAAUAAUUAGAUAUAUUAGAGCACUAUAAAAAGGCUAUCAAAUUGCGUUAUUCGCUUUUAAAUUUGUUGCAAUUUAGAAAAUGUACUGACAUGAGCCUUAUUACCAUAGUUUUUUUUUACUAUUUUUGCAAAUGUUCAUAAAAUAAACUACAAGUUUUGUAAGCUGAACAUCGAUCCAUUUUGACGUUUCAAUCCAAUAUGAAUGUCAAACAAUCUAAACGUUGACUUAUAUUUCAUACCUAUAUUAUAUGAAUCCCAAAGUGCUCUUAUUGAAUAACAUUAGCUUAGAUAGGGUUCAACUUAGGCUUUUAGAUGAGUCCAAUAUAUAUCCUAAAAAUGUCUUUAAUUCAAGCAUCACUUGAGAUGGUCCAACCAACGAAUGCAAUUUGUGGAAUGCACAACUUACAUACAAGUAUAAUGUCACUAUCAAUCUAAAACAAGUAAAAAAUGCAUCAAUCAUUAUGAGUUAACCUAAUGGUAAAUAAAGUGCACGACCUUGAUAAAAAAAAUGACAAGCUACAAGUUUAGGUUAAUCCUUGAUGAUCACAUACUUAAUAUAAGCUCACCAAGUAACUUUUGGGCACAUAAAGAGACAUUCUACCUCACCACACUCUUCUCAAUUCAAGAUCUAUUAGCUCACCGUAAUAAUUUUGGAUGAUCACAUAUUUUUGGUGUCAUCGGUUAUGAAUCCAAAAGUCACAUAAUUGAUAACAUGAAGUAAACAUUAAAAAAUAGAGAAAAAAGAAAGAAGUUUAAACUAUAGAAAUAAAGAAAUUCAUUGGAAAAAGAAAAACUUGUUAAGAACCCACGAGCAAAACACUCGAAGAACAAUACAAAAUGGUGUGUUCAUUCAAUUUACUAAAGGAAACGUUAAAGUUAAAAAGACAGUGGAAUUGUCGUCGCCUCCAAUAAUUUUGACGAUACUGUCACUCACGCUUGAUAUCGUAUAACCCGACCCACCUAUAUAAUUCCCUCUCUUUCUUCCCUCACUGGCCGCUUCCAACAAAUUCUUUCUUUUAUCAUUGUUCUUCAUUUUUCAAUUCAAUCAAAUUGCGGCCCCUUUUGCCUAUGCCCCUUAAAACCCUUUUUAUCAAAUACGAUUUCCAGUUUUAGUUUUUUUUAUUGGGUUUGUUUUGUUUUUGGAUUCUAAUCGAUUGUUAUGGCGGCGAGUGCAUCUUGGCAUCCUCAGGAAAAUGGGUUCAACGAGAUCUGUGGCUUGCUGGAGCAGCAAAUUUCUCCUACUUCGAAUCCGGAUAAGUCCCAGAUUUGGCAGCAACUUCAGCAAUACUCUCAGUUCCCUGACUUCAAUAAUUAUCUUGCGUUUAUUCUUGCACGAGCUGAGGUUCUUCCAGUUCUCUCUUAUUUUGCGGUUGUUUGAAUGGUCUUGCAAUUUCGCUUAUUGGGUUUUGAUGGGGUUGGCUGGAAUGGGCUGUGUGAUGCUUCAACCUUCUUGGUUUUAAUUUGUGGGUUUGGGUUUGAUAAAGUUUGUAGAGUUGGGAUUAAUUGGUUGAUCAAUUUUUUUAGUACUCUUCUUGAUGCGAGGAGAAUGCUUGUUUACUUAGAUGGAGCCUUCGUGGAUAUUGUUCAUAUUUGUUUAGUGGAAGUUUGAUUUCAUGAGUAAAUUCUGGGUUAAUCUUUUUUACUAUCUUUUCUGUAUUACUUCCCUGUAAACGAAGUCGCUUCUCAUGUAUUUGAUACUACUGGAUUCGUAAUAACGAUUCUGAAGCUUGAUUCCUGGAGGGUAAUCUUCUUUAGUCACUUAGGUUCCUCCGAGUUGCUUUUAGAUUUAGCCUAUCAUUCAUUUGCAAAAUUCUAGUUUUGGAAUUCAGAAAUGGAAUUGAUGUAUUGGAGCUUUCUGCAGGGUAAAUCAGUUGAGGUUCGACAAGCUGCUGGCUUACUUUUGAAAAACAACCUUAGAACUGCAUACAAGUCAAUGACUCCUGUCUUUCAGCAAUAUAUUAAAUCCGAAUUGUUGCCAUGUAUGGGAGCUGCAGACAGACAUAUUAGGUCUACAGUCGGGACCAUCAUCAGUGUCAUUGUUCAACUAGGGGGAAUAUUGGGGUGGCCUGAGUUGUUGCAAGCACUUGUAAGAUGCUUAGACAGUAAAGACCAAAAUCACAUGGAAGGUGCUAUGGAUGCUUUGUCCAAGGUUUUAUUCUCUAUCCUAGAAUAUUAUUUCGUCUAGUUUUAAGAGGUUCAAAUGUACGGACCAAAUUUCUGGUCAUAUUAUUGUUGAGUCUAUAUUCUAUAUAUGCAUGGUGAAGUUCAAUAUUUAGACGAGACUGCCCCUUGAGGGCGGCUUGUUUUGUUUGUAAAUUGACCAAUCUGAUUGUGGCAGAUUUAAACUUUGUGAAAAUGAAAUUUGAUAUUUUGGUCCAUGCUAAAAACCAGGUUUACAAGGACAAUUUAACAGUUUACUUGGCCUUUAACUUUUGAAAUUCUUUAUGCAUUCUCUCAAGGAAGAUCUAGAACAUAGUUUUAUAUUAAAUUCAUAUAGAGACAAUUUGAUAUUUUAGUGUGUGUUACCAAGCUUUGACAUUUAUUUAUAUAUAUUUAUAAUUUUGGCUCAGAUUUGUGAAGAUAUACCUCAAGUGCUUGACUCUGAUGUACCUGGAUUGUCUGAACGCCCAAUCAACGUAUUUCUUCCUAGAUUAUUUCAGGUAUGGUCAUCUUGUACCCCUCAUAUCUGUUUUUCUACUUAUAGUUAUCAUUGACUCAAUUGGCAUUGUAGGCUCUAUCUACCUACUGCAGUUAAGGUCUUUCAGUUUGUUUUUCACUUUUACCUGUAACUCUGUUUCCCGAUUAUUGCGUUUGGGUGUUUUUGAACAGUUCUUCCAGUCUCCACAUGCUACAUUGAGAAAACUCUCCUUGAGUUCUGUGAAUCAGUACAUUAUGCUGAUGCCCACUGUAAGUAAUAAGUAUGUGAUAUACUUUGUCAAUACUUAUUUUGGACCUUGUUCUGGUCUUUGUAUUGAUAGUGGUUCUUACAAUAUGUAUGAUUGCAGGCGCUUUACAUAUCCAUGGACCAGUAUCUUCAAGGUUUAUUUGUUCUUGCAAAUGACUCUACGUCAGAAGUGCGAAAGUUGGUUAGUGCUUUAUUCUAAGUGCAUCUAGAAUAUGUGUUAUUAUAGCUGGUGAUCUGUUUUUUCUUUUGCCUCAAGAGAAAUUUAAUAUGUCGAGAUUGAUACAGUCUUGUCUACGUGUAUAUAUCUCUUGUGCUGAAUGGAAGUGGCUACUUGACCUGUAGUGGGAAUUUUUGUGUCAGUUGUAUUUUUCUUCUGAAUAAAUAAAUAUACAAACAUAUCUUCUCAUGAAGGUUACAAAGUUUGAUUCAUGCUUUAGCAAGUUGGGCGUUAUUGACAUUUAUGUCUCAACUUGAGGGGGACUGUUAGAAUUAGUGGGCUUAAGCCCAACGAAAGAUUAACCCUAAUAUUCUUUCCUUUUUUAUCUUAAGAUCGUUGUCUAUUUAUUUUUCCCUUGUUGUAUCUUUUGUUCAUAUGAGAUAAUAUUAAGAAAUUCAGAUCAUGGUUUUUCUCCCAGUAUUAGGGUUUGCACGUAACUUGAUGUCGUAUUUUCUUUACUGCUUUUAAUAUUUUCUCAUAGAUGUUAAAGAUUUUGCUUUAUCUCUCACCAUUUUCGUUCUCCCAAUUUUCCUUUCUUUUUAGUUCUGCCCGCAAGUAUCUUAUCUUCAAAUAUUUCUGUGUGCAUAAGUUUCAUUGAUUAAUAAAUCCUUUGGUUCCUCAUAGAAGAAAAAUAAUGCAGCCCUAGGAUGUUGCGAUAAACCAUCUAUUUGACACCUAUAAUGUGGGCUUGGAGUAAUCUAGUGUUGAAAUAAUGAUAUAAGUAGAUUUAAGUAAUCUAUUAGUUUAGGCUUUUGGAUUGAUCGGUGAUUUAGCAUUCAAUUAGAGUAGAAGGUUGUGUGUUCAUCUGACCCCCUUGAUUAGUAUUGAUUUUCACUUGGACUUUUUACAAAUUUGUAAGUCUACAAGAGAGGGAAAGUGUUCAAGUAUUGAUAUAAUUAACUUUAUCUAACACAUCAAGUUAAACUUUUGGGUUAAUUGUUGAUUUAACAAGUAGUUUUAAUUCUUCUCUGUGCUUUGCAUCUUUUCCGAGCAGGUUUGCCAAGCAUUUGUGCAGCUAAUUGAAGUACGCCCAACUUUCUUGGAGGUUGGUUUCCUAUUUGCUCCUAGUUGGAUUAUGUAUCAUAUCUUAAAAAUUUCCUGCCUUACGUGCUUUGGACACAAAAAUUAAGUUGGUUUCUGUCUAAUUCCUUCACUUCUUGAACCAAUAAUUUUAUCAUUCUUUAUACUACAUUAAUAUCUUUCUUCAUUGCAUGUUUUUGAAAAAACUGUUUAUCAUGUGGUUUUGCAGCCACAUCUGCGGAAUGUAAUCGAAUACAUGUUGCAAGUUAAUAAGGAUGCUGAUGAGGAAGUUUCGCUUGAAGCCUGUGAAUUUUGGUAAUCGUCAUCUUGUAACUUUACACCUCUCUAUCUAUCUUAACUGGUAUAGCUUGUUACUUGUUUAUACAACUUUAAUUUUGUAGAUGAGUUUGGUUAUUGUUGUCAUUUUUUCUAGUUUCAUUGAUUUCUUUUAUUUUCUCUUUAAUUGUUUGCUUAUUCUUCAUAAUUUUGAGGAAACGGGAAUUAUACUGAUAGGUUUUCUAUUCCAUGAUUUUUUGGACUCUUGGAUAUAGUUCUAUAUUUUAUUAUAAGAACAAACUUCAUCGAUGAAUUAAAUAUGCAAAUACGAAGGGGACAUGUAUUUAAGAACACUAGGAAUUGCGAAAGAGGUGUUGUGGUUGGCCUCUACCAAGGAAAUAGAUUAGUCAUGAAAAGAUUUAGAGAGAUAACUCGAGAGGACGCCACAAGUAAGGCAAGAUCUAAAACUGAAGUCUCCUGACUAUUGUAAAUUUUCUUGUCUUGUUCCAACCGUGCUUGCCGGAAGGUGCUUACUUGUUUCAUUUUGUGUUUUAGUGUUUGUUAUUUUGUGUGUCAUUAGGUUUAAGUUCACUAUCAUAAUAUACCUUCUUGGAAAUGGGUUGACCUAGUGGUAAAGAAAGGAGACAUAGUCUCAAUAACUAACUAAGAGGUCACAGAUUCAAUCUAUAGUGGUCAUCUACCUAUGAAUUAAUUUCCUAAGAGCUUCCUUGACACCCAAAUGUUGUAGGGUCAUACGGUUUGUUUCAUGAGAUUAGUUGAGGUGCGUGGACACUCACGAAUAUAAAAAAAAUACACCUUCCUUUUUGGAAGGCUUCUGAACUGUUGAGUUUUGAUAAAGCUCAUUUUUUGAACGAGUUGAAAACUUUUGUUAGCUUGGUUGAAUGCUCAAUGCUCAUAUGUGCACCUUUCUUCUCUUUUUUAUUUUCUAUUUUUUUAAUCAUGUUUGUUUGUGGCCUUGCCUUGAUAUCCCAAACAAGUAAUUUUUGGCUUUGAGUUCAUACAAAACUAAUUUUCAUGCUACUUGCACAUUUUCUUCACUAUCAAUCUAUAGCAAAAAUUCUGGUUUUUUUCUUUUAGAAAUUAAGAUGCUCAAAAAGCAUUUAUACCCAUGGUAUGCCAUAUUUGCUUUUAGAUAGACCGUUUGAGAAUCCAAAAUGAUUCAGUACAUUGUUUGAUAGUUUUGCCUCAGAUAUGAAAGACACCUUUAAGGUGUUCCCCUCCGUUUGUCUUGAUCCUCAUAAUAUGUUGUGUGGAAAAGGUGGAAUAUAGGUGGGCUUUCUUCACAUUUAGUACGUUUUUGCCAAAGAUCUGUGGGAUAUUUGGUCCACAUUGUAGCCCCCUUCCAUUGAAGGGCCCUUACUAUUAGGGAAAUCAAUUACUUUCACCCAAGGAUACAACAUUAUUUAUUUCAUAGCAUAAGAGUGUUGUUACUAUGUUUUUUCUUCCCCUUGAUGUGAAACAAACCCAUUUCAUUUAUUUUUGAAAUUAGUUACAAAAGAAUAUUCUAUUAGUGAACAAUUACAAAAACACCUUCAAUGUGAAAUGAGGGUGAAUAAGCUGUAAUUACCAAAUGGAGAAGAUAUUUUGCUCCAAGAUAAAGUUUUUUUCCCCUUAUUGUCAUUGCAAAUUCACGGUAAAUCAUGUUCCUAAUGGAUACUCAUGUUUCUUCCGCCCUUGGCCUUUGAGACUGCUAAUGGAUGAUGGCUUCUUUUUAAAAAUUUCCCCCUCUAACCUAAUGAAUAUUUGUGUUGGUUAUUUUCUUUGUUAUAUUUGUUUCAUUUUAAGUUAUGCUUGGCAGGUCUGCAUAUUGUGAUGCCCAAUUACCUCCUGAGAACUUAAGAGAGUUCUUGCCACGUUUAAUUCCAGUAUGGCACAUGCUCAGAUAAAUAUUUCUUCCUUUCGAUACCUUGCUGUUGAGAUAUUUGUAAUGCUUUUUAUGUGCAUGUUUCAACUUCUGUAGGCAUUAUUGUCAAAUAUGGUCUAUGCUGAUGACGAUGAAUCACUUCUUGAGGCUGAGGUGAACUGGCAUACUUAGAUUUUUAUAUUUGUAUAAUUAGGUUUGCCCAUUAGUAUAUUUCAUUAUGUGUCUUCUACUCGUCUUUACAGGAAGAUGGAUCUCUUCCAGACCGAGAGCAGGUACAAUUAUUUUUUCUUCAAUGCUGAUUUUGGAGAGCAUACGUGGAAAAUAUCAGUGUUUCACCACCUUGAUGUUCAUGAUGAGCACGUGCUAUUUACUUAAUGAUGUCAUCUUUAUUAAUAUUUUGCCUGAAUUGUUGCACUCCAGGAUCUAAAACCCCGUUUCCAUUCAUCAAGGUUACAUGGGUCGGAGAAUGCAGAAGAUGAUGUAUGUCAUGUUGAUAUUUUCUUUACUUUUGGCUUAUUGGUUUUGAUCAACAGAUAAAAACAAUUACUAUGUUUGGUUUAAUUAUCUACAUCUUUGCAUAAUUCAGGAUGAUGACAUUGUAAAUAUAUGGAACUUGCGCAAAUGCAGUGCUGCAGCUCUUGAUAUUCUCUCAAAUGUGUUUGGGGAUGACAUUCUUCCUAUGUUGAUGCCUGUUGUCGAGGUAGGCAAAAAUUCCGUACAUUAGCGGACUUUGUUUUCUAUAAAAAAAAUGUCCAGGUAGACAAAUAAUUGGCAAAAGAAGCAAAACUCUGGUGUGUAACAUUUCACUGUUUUUGUUUCUAUAUUCUUUCUAUUGUCAGUCGCUCAGGACAUCAUUCACUGUGAACUUUAUCUUGUAUUUUCCUUCAGUUAUUUGCCCUUUUAUUUAUUUUCUUUCCCUCUACAGUUAUAGGCAUUGUUGCUUUUGUGGCGUGCUUGUCUAAAACUGCUUUCGCAUGACAGUUUAAUCACUUGAAUGAACUUUAGAUUUCUGUUUAUUUACCAAAGUAAAGACUUGAUGUGUAUAUUCAUUAAAUGCCAUUCUUCAUUACUAUUGGCAUUUAUCUUGCUUUGAUGCAUCAUAAAAAAUACCUGGUAUGAGGGAAUUGUUAGUUCUAUGGACUUAUUUGGAUUUUAUAUAUUAUUGUGCCCUAGAAUUCUCCAUAGUUUCAAUUUCUUUCUUGGUAGAUGUUUUAAUUUGAUAUAUGAACUUCGCCGAGAUUUUUAUUAGGCCAAUUUGUCCGCUAAUGGUGAUGAAGCCUGGAAAGAAAGAGAAGCUGCUGUACUGGCUCUUGGUGCGAUAGCUGAAGGUUGCAUUACUGGACUUUAUCCUCAUCUGCCUGAGGUGAUGUGCUCUAUGAUUUUAAUCAGCCAUGUUCAUAACUUUUGGGUUCUGAUUGAUACAAGUUCCUAUAAUUAAUAUUUUCAAUGGAAAUUUGUUGAGUAAAUACUGUUCAUUGUUUUUAAUAGAUCCAUUCCUUUAAUUGGCAGUUUGUGAUAUCUUAUAACUUAAUGUUGCUCGUGUUGCUUUCUCACCUAUAAAAUCAAAAUAUUCAAUGGUUUGUGCUUUUUGCAGAUUGUUAAAUUUCUCAUUCCUCUUUUAGAUGAUAGAUUUCCUCUAAUAAGGAGUAUAUCUUGUUGGACACUUUCUCGUUUCAGCAAGUUCAUUGUGCAGGUAUGUGUUUGUGAGUGUUCAGUUUAUUUUAUUUGGGAAUGUUUAUGCAAAAUUUUGUACAAACUACUGUACUUUUUCUAAAUUAUGUGGUAUUUUGAAUCCUGUGGUUUUAUUAUUCCAUGCCAAAGAUAGAAGCUAAGGGCCCCUGAGAAUAUGAACAGUUUGAUAAUGUUCUCAUGGGACUUUCACGAAGCAUGCGUUUGAUGUGUAUCCUAUUUCACUUUUCCCCCAUCUUAGGGCAUUGGAACUCAGAAAGGUUACGAACAAUUUGAUAAAGUUCUCAUGGGACUUCUACGAAGAUUAUUAGACAAUAACAAGAGGGUGCAAGAAGCUGCUUGUUCUGCUUUUGCAACGCUGGAGGAGGUUCUUCUAUUGAAACUUCAUUUACCUGCUUUUUCAUUAAAAAAAAAGACUCUUCAUUUACCUGCUAAUGAAUUAUUCUCUAUAUAGUUCAUGAUGGGGGUUUAGUAACUUGCAGGAAGCUGCCGAGGAAUUAGCACCCCAUUUGAAAAAUAUAUUACAGCACCUAAUAUGUGCUUUCGGAAAAUAUCAGGUAUCCUAACUAUCUGCCUAAUUUUCUCUUAUAGAGAAAGAGACGUCUGCUACAGACAUUAAUUUCAUAUAUAUAAUAAAUAUAGACAACAGUCCGUCUUUCUUUCUGGAAUGAAAACUAUCUAUGCUUAAAGCUUGUAUGUAUGUUGUGCAGAGACGGAAUCUACGGAUAGUGUAUGAUGCUAUUGGAACCUUAGCAGAUGCUGUAGGAGGGGAGCUAAAUCAGGUAACAUGUGAAUUGUGAUGCUUUUCACCUCAUCAUCUCAUUUUCUUUUGAUGCAUUGUAGAUCGGCAACUUAUUGAGUGUACAAUAAUUUUGAUCUUCUGCAUGUAGUACAUAAAAGACUGACUUCGUCUGAUUUGUCAUGAUUGCAGCCUGUUUAUCUUGAUAUUCUCAUGCCACCAUUAAUUGCCAAAUGGCAGCAACUUUCUAACUCAGACAAAGAUCUUUUCCCCCUGUUGGAGUGCUUCACAUCUAUAGCACAGGUGUUGAUUCGUGUUUUGGCUUAUUGGCUCAUUUUCUUAUGCGUAGUCCCAUUUAUUUUCAAGUUCCCCAAAGGUCAUUUAACAAAUUAUUGAAUUGAUUUUGAGAACAGUGGGUAAAGCUGUGAAAUACCUAUUUAUAUUAUAAAUAAUCUUGUAAGUUUUACACUCUCCCAAAUGUUUGCACUGAAAUUUUCACAUGGUUUUGGUGGUUGGUUUCUGUUUGAAUGUUUUGGAAACCGUUGACAAAAUUUCUGGUGUUUUGGACUAAUGGUUUUUGGCAUAAAAAAAGUGAGCUGGGUGAUGUAUGGUUCCUUAUGUCAUGUAGUUCUCUCUCUCUACUAGUUUUAUACCCCCACCACUACACACACAAAACCAAAUUACAGGUGAGGGAGAGAGUUUAAAUGUCACAAACUAGUUACCGGACUUCCAAAAUUCCGUGUAUUGUGAAAUUCGAUGUUCUUGGAAAUUUAUCUUGACUGGAGUUUGGGGAAAAUGAGAGGAUUCAUUGCGUGAGAAAGCUUUGUUUCUUGCAAUGUUUGUACUUCAUGGAUUCAGCCAGGAGUUGGUUUACUUAUCUAUUAGUCAUAAUAACUGUAAUUUUGAGAAAAACAAUUAAUAUUCUUUCCAUUUUCUAGGCUUUGGGGACUGGAUUUACCCAAUUUGCUCCGCCUGUGUAUCAGAGAUGCAUAAACAUCAUCCAGACCCAACAAAUGGCAAAGGUUUUUCCUGAUUUUUGAUUUUGAAUAAAUACUUAUUUAACUCCCAUUGUUAUACACUGUAGUUUUCUCCUUGUUUCUUUGUCUUUCUUCUUGUUAUAGUAUUAAGGUGAUUAAGCUUUAUUUCAUAUUUGUGCAUAGGGUCAGUUUUCUUUAUUAAUCACCAAUGUGAUAAUGCAAGAAAGGUCCUCAGUAGCUGUGAUAAAACAUGUCUUCUGCCUUUUUUUUAAAAAAAAGAAAACAAACUCAUGCAUUAAUAUAAGUAUACAAUGAGCAAAUGUUAUGACAUUAGAACGAGAAGGAUCAGCAGGUGCAUCCGGGCAUCUCAACUAGGUUGACACCCCAGUAGCACUCUCAUCAUAUUCAAACAAAGGAGUCCAACCUAAGUAACUAAAGAUCAAAAGGCUACAUGCAGCCAAUACAAACCAAGCAACCAUAUGAUUAAUCCGGCUUAAACAUAGCCACUACAACCCAAAAAAAUCUGAAAAAAUCUGAGAACAAUACGAACAGAUACAGAAAACUGGAAUAUAAAACUGAAAGAAGGAGACAGCCAUCAUAUGAGUCAUCUAAAGCCAGAGUCCAGAAUUAGAGCUUCAGUCAACGGUGAAAGAUGAAAGCCUUCCAAUUUAUCAAAAUAUCUUGUAGAGAGAAAUCUUUGAAUUGUUUAUGUGAGCACCGUGAGGAGGCAUUCAACCAAGCCAAUUCAAAUCUAUCCUUCCAGGAGGAAGAUUUAUUAUGGAAGACCUGUUGGUUUCUCUCAAACAUGUCUUCUGUCAUAGGAUUUAACUUUUAUUUCUUUUCCUUAUAAGAAGUAUUGUAUGUUUCUUUCUUCUGUUCUGUUCUGCUCUGUUCUCUCUCUCUCUCUCCCCGUUUUUUAGGAAAAGAAAACUCUUUCAUUGAUAAUUAGAAAUUUUAAAUAAGAAAUUAGGAAGUUACAAAUGGGUGAAAGUCAAGACGUGAGGAGUAUAUGGGUGAGGCCCUCAAUAGAAGAAAUCAAAGAAUCUCAAUAGAAAAAAAAAUCCUCUUUGGUGGCUUUUAUUUCUUUCCCGAUUCUUAUUCACAUUGGUGGUUGAAAGAAAAACCCACUUUCAUUCUGCCUACGAAGGGACUAAACUUCGAUCUCAUUGAGGGCUUUGUUUUCAGGAAUUCUGAGAUUAGUAUUAACCAUUUACAGUUUGUGGGUGAUACCAUCCUUUUCUCCUUACCUGAUGAGGAAAAGCUGGGAAUUCUUUUGAGAAUAUGCAUUCAUUUGAGAAUACAUACGGUUUUCGCAUAAUCACUGAAAGUCGGAACUCAUGGGCAUACACUUAAACAAUAGUACAAUUGCUUCUCUGGCUGCUUCAUUUGGCUGUAUGGUUGGUACUUUGCCCUUGACUUAUCUUGGUUUGCUUUUGAAUGCUAAACCCUUCACAUAUGCUUUUUGGGAAGAGAAGGUUGAAAGGUGCCUUAAGAGUCGGAAUGAAAAUUAUAUUUCCAAAGGUGGUAGGCUCACAUUUGAUCAAAGCCACUCUCAAUCUGCCUACAUAUUUCCUCUCUCUUUAAGAUAUCUCCAAAUCUGUGUGUUGACAGAAUCAAGAAGCUUUGCGGGAACUUCCUUUGUAACGGGCAUAAAGAUAAAAGAGGUAUCCACUAAAUCAAAUGAUGGAAAAUACAAGUCUCAACAUCUGAAGGGGGCCUCGGCUUCACUGAAUUAAACAAAGGAACAAAAGUCUUUUGGUGAAAUGGAUUUGGAGUUAUCAAUUGGAGGAAAAUGCCCUCUGGAGGUGCUUUAUUGAUGCUAAAUAUGAUCACCCCUACAACCACAAAGCAGAUUCUUUAAAAAGACUAAAGGCCCGUGGACCUAUAUUGGAGAACAGAGGAAUCUAAUUCAUGAUAAUAUUGUUCAGAUUGUUGGCAAUGGUGACAAUACAUCUUUCUGGAAUGAUAUAUGGGCUGGAGACUAUUAUUUCAAUAGUGCUUUUCCUAGAUUAUUUGCGCUAGUCCGUUAGAAGGAGGCCGCCAUUGCACAUUGUUGGAACCAGAUUUACAAAGCAUGGGUCCUUGGGUGGAGACAUAUCUUAAUGAACACAAAAUUACAGAAUGAUCUGGAUUUUCCACAUUAUUAUUGCCCCCUAAUAGCCCCAUGGUCGGUGACUUGUGGAGAUGGAAUUUGGACAAAUCUGGUCAGUUUUCAUUGAAAUUGAUCUCUCAUCACCUUUCCUCUUGUGGAAACGAUCAAAAUGCAUUCCUUUAUAAGAACAUUUGGAAAGGACUCAUUCCAAAAAGAUACAGUUCCUCAUAUGGGAGGUCGGCCAUGGAUGCAUUGACACAACUGAUAUCAUUAUCCAAAAGGUCCCUUGGAUUGUGUCUGCCACUAAUUGAUCUGUUCUUCGUUGCCAGUGGUGAAUCCAUCAUGCACUUAUUGAUCUUUUGUAUCUAUGGCUAAUCCUUUUGGAGGAGUAGCUUAUCGUGUUUCAUCUAUAAUGUGAUGUUCCCAAACGAACCCUAUAACUCUUUUGAAUAUGCUUCUUAUGGCCAUCCGUACAAGAAUGAGAAAGCGAUCUUGUGGACUUUCAUCAUCAAAGCUUACUUCUGGCUUAUUUGGAACGAGCGAAAUCACCACAUCUUUCAAGAGAGAAAUGGAUUUCACUCAAUUUUUUGAUCUUUUGUAUGCAUGGAUCAUUUGGUGUACAUUCACCCUCUUAUGUCCCUUAUAAUGGAUUAGUAUUUUGUAGUCUCUCUCGGCACUCUAUUUCCCGUUUAAUAAUCAUACCAUCGAUGAAAUUAUGAUCAAUAUGUUUCUCCUCAGUAAAAAAUGCUAUAAUUCAUAGAUUUGUUCUUUUUUUUUUCUCAUUCCCACUAUUUUCAUGUUACCUUGUACUAAGUUAAGUGCCUGAAGUCUGGUUACUCUUUGAUGAUAUGUGUGGUUAAGUUUGAAUUAUAGCGUUGAUCACUGCUAGCUGCUAUUCUAUGCUUGAAUUGUUUGAUCUAAGAUGUUGAUUUGAUUUCCUAUUGCAGGUUGAGCCUGUUUCUGCUGGGGUUCAGUAUGAUAGAGAGUUCAUUGUGUGCUGUCUUGAUCUUCUUUCAGGACUCGCAGAAGGUCUUGGCAGUGGAAUUGAAAGUUUGGUAAUUAAAUUCUAAACCAAACAUUUGCCUCACCUUUUUCUUUUGUGAUCCUUUUGUAAGAUUUGAAAAGGGGAGGAUAUCAGAUGUUGAUAAAUUUUUUUAGGACUAUUUUAUUACUGUUUUAUUGUAUAUUUCUCUGAUCGAAUGUGACUGCUUUCUUCUAGUAGUAAUUGAUACGACAAUAUAUUCUGAACUUGCUUGCAUGUGGCAUUUUAUGGAAUUCCCCUCAGGUUUCUCAAAGCAAUUUGAGGGACUUGCUCUUGCAAUGCUGCAUGGAUGAAGCUUCUGAUGUCCGACAGAGUGCCUUUGCAUUGCUUGGGGAUCUUGGAAGAGUAAGCAUUUGGAUUAAUCUCUUGGAUUGUUUUUCCUUUGUUCCAUUAUAUUUAGUAGGUUAUUCAAAAUUUUUAAUCGCAAUGAGCCUCUCAGCAUUAAUCGUGCUUGCCUAUUUGCCCUUGAAAAAGUAAUGAAAUGUUCUUCAGUGGAGGGAGGAGGCACAUGAUUUAUAUGCAAGUCUUUGCUGACUACUAGGAACUUCUGUUUCUUGAUAUUUUUCUUGUGUUUAUGGUUUAUUUAUAUUAUGUGGUCAGGUAUGCCACGUCCAUUUGCAACCGCGUUUAUCAGAAUUUCUUACCGCUGCAGCAAAGCAACUGGUAAUUAAGCUAUUUUAUGGCUUACGUUUCUAAUUUGAGGUUAUUUUACUAGUCUUAUACGUGUAAUUUGCACAGGAUACUCCUAAGCUGAAGGAAAUUGUUUCUGUGGCAAACAAUGCCUGCUGGGCAAUUGGAGAAUUAGCUGUUAAGGUAUGUGUAAACUUUUCAUACACUCACAGAGUGCCGUAUAUGAGCUUGUAUGUAUACAUGUCUUCACACAUCCCUCUUAUUGUGACUAUUUAAGUUUAUGUUUGGCUUUGGGAUGAAGAACAUGUAUUAGCAAAAAAAGUUUCUUUUUUCUUUUUUCUCUCCCUCUCUUCUCAUGCAAGUAAAUUUCAGUACUGAUGUAAUGCAUCCGAUGGUAAAAUGGCCUCAACCUGGAAAUUCAUCACUAUUCCCUACUAUAAUGUUAAAGAAAAGGACUAGUUAAGGAAUUAUUUCAAAUCAAUAGCUUAAAGAAAAGGCAGAACUUCAACCUAACAAAGAGGGUCUUUUAUCAUAUUAUCUUUAAAAUGUUGAUAUCAUGUUAACUUUACCUUCACCUAUUAGUUUUAGCUUUUGAUAUUUUGCAAUGUUAUUUCCUCUCCAAUUGAUAUUGAUUCACUUGUUGGAGUUUCUAAAAAUUUCCAAACCCACAAGUUAGGGAAUCUAAAAGUGUCGAUAUAGUAUUAAACUUACCUUUGUCUAUUAGCUUAAGCUUUUGGGUUAAUUAGUGAUUUAAUACUUAAACUUUCCUUUAUGAUGGUGGUUUGAAUUUAAAAUUUAUAGCAUUCCGUUGCACGAACUACAUCAAUCUUGGUGACAGAUGGAAUUUGUAAGCAGUUAUUUACAUGAUAUGGAAUUGUUAUUGAUUCAGGUACGCCAAGAAAUUUCUCCUGUCGUUAUGACAGUGAUUUCAAGCUUGGUCCCGAUUCUUCAACAUGCACAGGUGAUGAUCCCUUUCUUUUGCACUAACAUAGAACACGUCUCAUCAUUUUUGUAUUAUGGCACCAAUAAGCUUCUUGUUCACUAAGAACUAGAAACAUAUGAGAGGAAAGGUAGGUAUAUAUAUAUAAAGAGGAAAGGUAGAUAUAUAUAUGUAGGUUCAGUUCAUGAGAGAAUGUUGUGUGUAAAGAGUUCCCAUUGCAUCCUUAGGAGGGAUUUUGAAAUGUGUUGAUUGUACUUAACAGGAUCAUUAUUAUGUAAUUUCAUUUCUUUGUACGAUGCAGGAGCUAAAUAAAUCUCUGGUAGAAAACAGUGCAAUUACACUUGGAAGGAUCGCAUGGGUUUGCCCUCAGCUAGUGUCACCACAUAUGGAACAUUUCAUCCAACCAUGGUGCACUGCUUUAUCCAUGUAAGGUUCUCUUCUUUACAUUACGUUCUUAGGCUUAAGGAUGUUCUAUUAUUAGAUAUAAUUGCACCUAAGACAUGACACCUCAACCUUGUUACUGAAUGCCAAAAGUUUAUGUAUUCUGUUUUCUAAGUAGAAGUGGCUUAUAGUUGUCUCACUGUUCUAAAGUUAUAAACCAUGGUUGUGAACUUAAGGACCUUCAAAUUAAUUGCUAGGUCAAAUUGUAGACUUCUGAUUGUUUUUGUUUUAAUCACAUCUCUGUAUCUGCACAUAAGUUACUUAACUUAGACACCAGCAUUAGCCAAAUCACAUCUCUGUAUCCCUAGGAAAAACCGAAGCAAUUUUGUUUAUUUAUUUUUAAUUUUAAAUCCGUUGUAUUUUUUUUUUUUUUUAACAUGGGUCAAGGUUUUAUUUUACUGGCAGGAUACGUGAUGAUGUAGAAAAGGAGGAUGCUUUUCGAGGUCUUUGCGCUCUGGUAAGUCUUAAAUUUGUAGCAAAUACUAUACGUGUUUCUGAUUAUUAACAACUGUUGUGUCUUGGUUGGUUUCAGGUUAAAUCAAAUCCUUCAGGGGCAGUAACUUCACUUCCUUAUAUGUGCAAAGCUAUUGCCAGUUGGCAUGUAAGCCUGGAAACUUUAUCAAUAUCUGACAUUGCUUGAUGUUUUCUUUCUAAGAUGAGAUUGUUGCCUGCAGGAAAUAAGAAGUCAAGAUCUUCAUAAUGAAGUAUGCCAGGUUCUACACGGUUAUAAGCAGGUUUGUAGCUAAAUUACUUCCGACUAUUCCCCUACUCCCCUUUUUAAGGGAAAUAAUUUUUAAAUAAUUGGUAUUCAAAGAAAGUAACUCUGGAGUACAUUAUAAACUGGUGGUGUUCCUUUAUGAUGCUAUUUAAGAGUUAGAUGGAAGUGAUGGGCUAGGCUGGCAUAGUUAGCUUUGUGGUUAAAAUUAUAAGGAAAAGAAAUAGGUGAAGAAAAUAAGGACCAAAUUUCCCAAGGACGUCGAUUUUUUUUGUGCUCCUCACCGUUUGGCUUGGCCACAUUUGUGGGCCCUUUUAUAUUAAUUUAUUGGACAGCUGAAAAUUUAGCACUUAGGUUUUAAAGUAUUAGCAGAUAUAACACAAUGCAAAAGAAUUUGCAUAUAUAGCAAAAUUUAGAUCCAACUCUCGAAGUAUCGGUGAUAGACUAUAUUGCCUAUAGGAGUCUAUUACUAAUAGAUUUUUCUAUAUUUUCAGUUUUCUAAAAAUAUUGCUAUACACUUAAUUGUUAGCCUAAACGUGAUAACUAUUGCAAUUAUCCCAUUUUAUUUGUCAUAAUAAUUUUUAUCUUACCAUUAAAAAGAUGGGAAAAGGAUAAAUGUCACAUAAUUGCGAUGGGCGGGGUAAUGAUAAAUGGUAAGAAUUGACAGCUCCUUUGGAGUCUCAGAUUUAUUGACCAGGGGUGGAGGUCUUUGUCAACUGGUUGAUAGCCUUAAAUGGAGGGCAAAAUCAGUAUCUCUGUUCACCAAGAUCUUCAUACUAGUUAUAAAAAUAUAGUAGUCUUAGUAAUUAUUAAUGUUCAUAUCAAAUGUCCAUUUGACAGAUGCUGAGAAAUGGUGGGUGGGACCAGUGUAUUUCGUCUCUGGAACCAUCCGUGAAGGACAAACUAUCAAAAUAUCAAGUAUAGGAUGAUGAUGAUGUUUUAUCAGUUAUCAGCAAGCAUUCUUCUCAAACAUAUGCUUCAAAUUCUGUCUCGAAAACCGAUGGGAUGGGUCGUUUUGUGGCGUUGUCUGUGUGUCCUUAUUAUUGAUGAUUGGAGCAAACUUCAAGUUAAAAAAAAAAAAUAAUCAAGUUUGCUGCUGAGCUUGAAGAAGAUUGCACAUCCUUCUUAAGAUAAUUAUACAGGUUGACUUGGUUGGUUGAGACAGCACUUGAAAAUGAAGCCAGCUGAAGUGAGAAAAAAAAAUGUUGUACAGGGAGAUAUGUUGAGAUAGUGUGGUGCCCUUCUUAUAGUGUUCCCAUUCCUUUUCCUUUUCUUUCAUCAUGAGUCUGGAUUCGUUAUAUCGAUUUUGGGGCGAUGGUUUAUAGGUAGAGAGUCAGCACAUUUUUCUUUUCCUUUUUGAUUUUACGACUUUGGUCCUAUGAUUUUUCCAUUAAUGAAUAGGGCGCAUCGGCGCGAUAGGUUUUCUAUUAUGAAAGAUAGAGCUGAGUUAUUCUUGCUACAUUUAGCAGCUGGUGGUGAUUUGGGGAUUUUUUGUUUGUCUUUGGAAGCAAUAAGGAACCUUCAUGUACUUUAGUUUUCUCAUAUAAUUAAACCAUAUCAUGUUUGUACUAAAACCUCCUCUUUUUGUUUGGGUUUUAUCUUCACAAUCAGCCUACAAAAGCAAAUUAUGAAUAGUAUUGUAGGGUUUGAGUGAAGUUUUUGAGGAAAUGAGGAUGAGUGAGUUCUUAUAGUCUUACAGAAUUGAUGUAAAUCUCUGGGCUUUAAAUUAAAGUUUAUUCUUUGGAUGAAUUGUCACAUUCUCAUCUUACAGUUUACACUUAGAGCCUUUUUUAAGUAUUGCCUUUUCAAAUCUACAAAGAAAUGCUAAUAGAAAUAUUAUGAUUUUUGAGAUAACUAUUGUAAAUUACCAUUCAAUGUUGACUCAAUUGAUACAAAUAGUUUGACAUUCUCUAAUUAAAACCUCAACUUGUACAAACUACAUAAAACUAAUGCUGCCAUUUAGCAUUAUUUAAUUAUGGAUGCUUUGACCAAACUCUUCAUCUGAUCUUCAUCCUUGUAUAGAAUUGAUAUUUGACAAUUGGUUGUGCACUUUAAUUUGUUGCAACAAAAUUUGGAACAUCUUUCAACUAUUUAGUUUUCUUUUUGGUGAAUAUUAUGGUUGUAAGCAUCCUCAAGUUUUGACUCUCUAAGUUUUUUUUUGUCUUCGUACUUGUUCUUCACAAACAAAAUUUUAAAAUCUAAGCUUCUUCACCUAUUUUGUAAGAUUGGUUUGGUAACCUCUUUUGUUUAUGAAAAUUACAGCUAUUUUCUCUCAACUUUUACAAUGAUUUGCAUAUUUCUUCAUUAUAAUGAUUGAACUCUUAACUAAAUUUUAAAAAUAACAAAAAGGUUUUAAAAGUUACUUUUUCAUUUAGUUUUCAAAUUUUGACACUUCUAAAACUGAAAUGAAAUCAAUAACAAAGGAAGAAUUUUGGAGGUGGAAGUAGUGUAUUUAGACUUAGAUUUUAGAAAGAAAAAAAAAAGCAAAAUGGUUUCAAAACGUUUUUUGUUUUAGAAUUUGAUUAAGAAUUGAGUGGUUUUUAAAGAAAUAUGAGAAGCACAUAAUCAAGUGUAAGAGAAAACAAGCAUAAGUUUAAAAAACAAAAUCGUUACCAAACGAGAUUGAUUACAAUCUGUGAAUUUGGGUUGCUUCGAAAUAUUUAAAGCGGUUUUGAUGGAGAGUUUUGUGAUAAAGAAUUGGAUUCAUUUCUUGAAGAAUGGCCUUCACAUUAUGUGCCAAUUCUUUAAUGUUUUCGUUCCAAUGACUCGUAAUAAUGUUUUCCAUUCCUCUUAUAAUUACUGGAAAUACUUCUUCCAUGGCGCUAUAUACCAUCGUCACAAAUGCUUCGCUAUUCCAUAUGUAUAGAGCUCGCUCCGCCACCUGAAUUUAAAAGAUGCCAUUGAUGAGGAGCUUUUGUCAGUAUCAAUAGACAUAGAAACAACCUUGAUUUGAUUCAUUAAGUUAUAUUGAAAAGUUAUUUUAAUUCAACCUCUACUACAAGAAGUAUGCAUUCCCACAAGAGAGAAAUUUUCUAUGAUAAAGUACUUAAAAAACACCCAAGAUAAAUUAAAAAACUAAAGGGAGAAAAACUAUGAAGUAAAUUAGUUUUUAUGACAGAUGCAUAAUAAAACCAAAGAUGGUCCUUUCAUCUUUUUUUUCUUUUUUAUAAUUAUUAAUUUUAGAUCCUCUUUAGCUAUUUGGUUUUCGAUUUUUGAAAAUUAGAUAUCUAUUUCCUCUUCACUUCUUACAACGUAAGCAAAAUACUUGUGUUCGAUCAAUUCCAAGAACACAAAUAAAUUUCUAAAAGCAUUUUGUUUUAGUUUUCAAAACCUGACUUGAUGUUUAAUAAUAUUGAAAAGAGGUUGAUAAAAAAGCAAAAAGUUAAGAGAUGAAAGAUGUUUUUAUAGAUUUUCAAACUAAAAGUCAAAUAGUUAUGGAAUUUGAGGAGGGGAUUCAAUCUUACCAUGGAGUUCAAACUCUUGAAACAUUUGGUCAUGUGUGAACAAAAGGGCAAAGCCAAAUCCCUAUAUAGUUUGGGAUCCAAUUUCUCCACUAAAUCCUCCAAUUCCUCAAUCAACUUUAUCUCUUUUUGACUAUUAGCUUGAGGCCAAUACUUCAUAAUCUUUCUCACUAUGAACCCACCAAGCUCACUCUCCUUCUCCACAAAUUGAUAAACACAAUAACUCAAUUGCUUGUUGAAACUCUGCAUUCCUUUAACCUUAUGUAAAGGAAUCAAUAUCCUUUUCAAAAAAACUUUGUGUUCUUCCUUCAAUGGAACUGCAAAACCAUUGAUUAUGCUUCCCCAAAUCUCAAGCAUCUCAGCUAUCCCAUUAUGCCUCUCUGUUUCAAAAAUAUACUCCAAAAACACACCACUCAUUGCUUUUCUCAUGAAUGAUCUAUACUUUGUGAACUUGUAAUACAUUUGAUGAAAAACAUUCUUCAAACUCUCUCGUUCCUUCGAUUCAUCCGAAUCGAAUAGCGAAAGAAGUCCGAGAAGAAAAGUUUUAUCUAUAUGUUUCUCAAGUGUUUGAGUAUCAAUGUUGAUUACUAGCCACAAGAGGAUAUCAUAAACAACUUCAAGUUGCAGCCAGUUGAGAGAAGGAAUGGUGGAGCAGACAACGACUUCGUUUUCUUCAGCAAGGGUCGAGGAUGUGAUUGGAAAAGCCGGGGAAGGGGGAGGGAGUGGACGAAAGAGAUUAAUGGAUAUCAACGACAUCACCGACGAUAAAACGUCACGGUGUAACGGUUUCUUUGAUGUUUUAAUGACGGUGAAAAGAUGAGUAAGUUUGAAUCUUUUCAAUUCAUGAGAAGUAGUUGGUAGUGCCAUGGAAGAGCAAAAGGAAAUGAUGGAAAGAAUUUCGUCUUGAAGAACAAUAUUAGUUAAGCCAAAGGGUUUGUUGGUGAAUGGAUCAUGAUCAAAGAGAUGUUUUAGAGUUGGAAGAGACUUAGAAAGUUUUGAGAAGGAUCUUUGAGUGUUGGUUUGAGCACCCAUUGAUUAGUUUUUUGAGGUUAGGAAGUUCAUUAGGUUUAGGGUUUAGGAAGAUGAUGAACAGAAAGAGAGGGAGAGGGAAAUCUUGAGUUUUGAUUGAUUGUAUUUGUAGUUUGAUGAAACGGAUAUUACUAAAGUUAUGCAAUGGGAAGAAGAUAAAAAUUCUUAUUGAUAUGAUCAAAUUUGAAAGAUACUUCAAACGGCUUGCAUUGUUUUAUUCACAAGGAGCCUAUGACUCUUACAAAAACUAGGGAUUAUUUGAUUGGUUUUUGCUUCUUUUUAAAUAUAUUUUGUUUUCUUCUCAUCUCUCUCUAAAUCUUCCACCCACUCUUUUCUCUCUAUCUUCUUUUCACCCCGGUCAUGAAACAAGAUUUUGUCUCGCGAGGGCCUUCUUUUACUCUUUGCUGACGUCAAAUUUAAAUGAAAUUAUCAAAACAGGACUUUGAACCUAUUGAAUUCACUUUUCUCGCUCUUUGGAGUGUAAAUCAGUAUUUUGGUAACACGAAAUGGAGUUGCUCGUGUAGCUACCUAGAGUUGAUACAUGGUCUUGUAGAAGUUGGUUACAUCGGAGAAGAAAAACACUAGAAAGAAAAUAAGCAAGGAUAAUUUUGUAAAAUUAGUUGAAACGAGGUAAGCAAUCGAUCACAAUUCUUAAGUUUUAAAAAGUAGGACAAAAAACAUUCACGAGGACCUUGAGAACGAGUUCUUUGACCAAUUUUUCUCAAUUUAUCCUUUCUAUUAUUCUUCAAGAUGUUCUUUUUGUUUGAAGCUCGUUUAAGUAUGUAGUUCGAAUAUCUUGAUUAUAUAAUCUUUAUCAUGAUCUUGAACUAUAAUAAUAAUUUUCCAAACAGUUGGACUACUUGAUGUUAAGUGGGUAUUUUGAUAAGGAUAAAUAUUAUAUUGGUUUAAUCCAUGCCUAAAAUCAUAGGAACAAUUUCAAUAAAAGAUUUACACAAAACAUAGACUUUCUUUGGGUUGGGCUCAUUUAUCUUAAAUGAAACCCAAAAACCACUAAGACAAAUUGUUGCUUGCUCUUUCUUUCUUUGGCUACAUGUGGCUUACUUAUAUGUACUUGGCUAGUCUACUCUUUUUGCUCCUCCACUCAAAAUUUUAUUAGUUUUCAUUUCGUGUUCGAGUUUCAAAAUGUUAUACAUUUAGAAGUUGUGACCCCCAACUUACUUUAGAUGAGAUGGACUAUUAUAACUCACACCAAACUAUUAAAAAAUGUCUUAUCGUAAAAUCAUUGCAAAUAGUGAAAACGGUAGCAAAAUGAAGGUUUUAAAAGUAUUAACUAUAGUUAACAAGGAACUAUAAGAUAGUAUUUAUUAUAACAAGAGGUGGUUAUUAUAGUAUGAUAGGGUUUGAUCCUCACCCUAAACACUCGUUAGUUUUUCAAAUUAAAAUCUAUAGACACUAUUUCUACUCUUGUGAGUUUCUAGUUAUAUAUGCUAUACAUUUUUUACUAAUAUUUUUAAAUUAAGUCAAGUUUUGAAAACUAAAUAAUGUAGUUUCCAUUUUAGUAAUCAUUUUUUUAGUUUUUGAGAAGUUUUUCUAUAAACACUUUUUCUACAUCUAACUUCUUGUUGUUUACUUUAUAUUGAUAUUUUAAAAAAUCAUGCAAAAUUUUCAAAAACUAAAAGAAGUGAUUGUAGAAACUUUUUUUUUUAGAAUUUGGCUAAAAAUUUCAAAACAAUAUACUUACCAAAAUCCAAAAAAAAAAAAAAAACUCAAGAACUUUUAUUCUGUCUUAGAAUUUAAAUUUGAAUUCAAUUGUUAUUUUUGGUUGUCUUCUUUACAAAUGAAUAUUUGAAUUGUUAGUGAUAUUAAUUUAUUAGAUUUUGGGAAAUAGUGUUUAAAUUUUUUUUAAAAAAAAUCUGAUAAAUUUAUCAAUGGAGGCUUUAAAUUUUUAUUCCAAUUAACCUCAUUCAAAAACGUGUAAAAUGAUAUUCUAAGAUUUAUUUAUUUUAAAAUUUUUAAGAUAAAUAAUCUUAACAAUUUCUAAAAACUUAUUGAGUAGCCCAAAUAACAAAUAUACACGUGUUUAAUUAAUAUAUUAUUUACCAAGUAAAACAUUCUAUUAUUUAAAUAUUCAACUUAGCUUAAUCAAAUAACUCUAUUUUAUUCAAACAAAAAGAAAAAUAUCUCUUUCAAAUUUCUUCCAAAUCUAUAGAAAAAGAAAAGAGAUCCAUCAGUUCACAUAUAUGAAUGGAAUCAAUGAAAACACUUGUCCUCAUCUUAUUGAUGCAAAAACCUAUGAUCAAAAUAAUAGUUCCCUAAUAAUAAUUCUAUGUCACAAAAAUUUAUAUUUAAUUUUAAAGUCAAAAUAAAACCAAUAGAAAUUUCCCUUCUCUAACUUAGAAUGUGACAAAAUAUAUAUUGUCAUCCACAGAGACUAAACAUAAGCAUGGACUCAUUUUUCAUUUUCUUCAAAUAAUAAUAACAAUAAUAAUAAAAAGUCUUAAACAUAUUUGUUCGGACACCUCGUUGUUUUACUUUCAGUAACUUCUUAAAAGCUAAUUGUUAUCACUUAUAUAUUCAUCAUCAUCGUCUUAUCUAACCGGUGUGAGACUUUAAUUGUAUUUUCAACAAUUAAUAUAUAUCUAUACAUGUGUAUAUACUUUGAAGAGAUAUCAAAAUGAGUACAGCAUAGAAUUAGGUAUGAGUAUAUAAUAUAGCAUAAUGUUUAGUUCUGCAAAUAAAACCAAAUCCAACUUUAUUAACCAAUUGUUUAAAUAAAUCACCUAACAAAUAUGAUUACAUCUUAUAUUGAUAAUCUAAUCUAAUUUACAUUGAACCUAUAUUAGAUCACUUCUUCUUAUCUAAACAUGUAUUAAAUAUCCAACUUUUUAAGUUUAAAAUAUUGGAAAGGUGUGCAUAUGGAUAUACAAAUUAGAGUAAAUAAAGAAGGCUUAAAAGUAUAGUCACCCACUCCUUUAUAAAUUUAACACUAUGGGUCUUACCAACCGAUUGUAAGUCUCUUGUCUAUAAAGACAUACCAAACAUGGCAUGUGUCGAUAUUUAGAUACGCCACUUGUUUAGAGGAUGUUUUGAUAUAUAAUAAUAAGAAUGAAAAGUUGGAGAGUAUGUCUAAAAAUAUUGAAAAAGUUAAAGAUGAGUUUCCAUACUUUGUAAAGUAUAUUAUUAGUAGUUAUUCAUACGCUUCAAAUUCUUAAAACGUUAGUACAAAGGUAAAGUUUAAAUACUUAUUUUAGUUUAUGCAUGGAAUUUGGAUUAUUCUCAACAAUAGUGAUAAAUGGGCAUUCUUAUAAAGAACCAAGUUUUUAAUCUAAAUAGAAUAGGAUAGCGAUGAGAUGAAGUACUUUUACCUUAAGAUCAUGAUGUUAGAGAUCGGAGGAAAUACUUUUACCUUAGGAUGAUGUUUAAAGUGAGUCAUCGUGAAUGAAAGAGAGUUAUGAUCUCAACCUCAGUCUUUGAGGUCGAGGCGAGUAUGUUGGACUGUUUAGCCUCAAAAGGUAUUGACCUCAGCCAAGUUGAGGCAAGUAUAUAACAAGUCAUUCGACCAAAAAUAUCAUGUCUUUUCAUGUUCUCUUCCUCACUUGGCCCAUUCAUGUUCUCCUUUUGUCCCUCACAUGACUACUAGUACUAUUAUUCCAAUAUUUUGAGUGUAACAAUUAGAUUAUAGGAUGUCAUAAUAAAAAAAUGUUGGGACUCAUAUCCUAUUUUCUUGUAUAGAGUUUAGUAAAUACUCUUUAUUCGCAAUGAAGUGUGACUUAUAAAUAAUAUGUUUUCAUAUUUUAAAGAAAAAUACUUAGGUGCAACAUAUUGAGCAAUACCUAUCUUUAUGCACCUCAUCAAAUUGUUCGAUCAUAACUUAACACAUUUUCAUGUUUCUUACUCAUAACAUUUUGAUUAUUUAACAUUUUUUUUGUUUUAGUGGUGAGUAUAGGAUGCAUCAACAUUACUUUUCUCUAAAUAGCAUCAUAGACAAGUAAGAUGAGACCUUAAUUAUAAUGAUAGAAUUAAAGUUUCACCUACAUGUUGAUAUUUUCAUAGAUAUUAAUUUCCAUUAUAUCGUAACUAAAAAUUCAAAAACCAUGAAAACAUAAACAACAAUUUAUCACUGAUAUAAAUACAAUACAAAACAUAACAGAUGUUUCUUGAAAAUUGAGAUUUCAAUAAUAUUUCCAUUUACAUCGACAAUUUAUUGAGCAACAAUUUUAUAGAUAAUAAUUAAAAAUAUUAGUAACAUUUUUAAAAAUUAUAAAUAUAGCAAAAUCGAAUGAUAGACUUUUGUUAUAUAUGUUUGAAUGGUAGAUCAUAUUUGUAAUAUGGUUUAUAGACUUUGAUUUUUACAGCUAUAUUUGUAAACGUUAGUAAUUAUAAUUGAUAAUCAAGUCCCACCCUCCUACAAAGCGCGUGGUUCCCACGCUCGAAAACUCCCAUCAAAUUCCUCUCCACUCCUCACAACACACACACACACCUUCUCUCCUACACCAUUAUUUGUACAAACCAAAUCACACACAGACUCUCCCUCUCUCUUUCUCUCCAAAUCUUUCUUAGUAAUUCCAUUAAAAUCCCAAUUUCAAUCUCUCUCUCCUCUCCAUCUCCACCAUGGAAGAUUCUCCUUCUCCUUCUCCUUCUCCUUCUCCAACUUCCUUCCUCUCUCCCAAUCACCCUCUCAGCUCUCCCGAACUAGAAUUCUCCGACGACAUCGAAAUGACCCCUCUUCAAUCCUACACCAGCCUCAAAGACCUCCUCCCCGACUCCCCUUCUCCGCCCCCAUCCGCCACCUCCCCAGCCUUCGACCAACUCCCCAUCAAGAACCCUCUUGUCAAACACGCCGCCCUCGCCUACCUUCAGCCCAUGCUCACCCCACCCACCACCUCCCACCCUACCUUUCUCCGUAUCCUCAAGAAGCACGGUUUUGGUUGCAUCGAGUGGCUCGCCGCCGUCGUCCAUGAAGUUCGUCGUGUUUGAGAUUCCGAUGAAGCUUCAUUCUCUAGUAGUUGACUGGCGGAUAGGAAAAAAAAAAAAAAAACAGAAACUUUCAUGUAUUUUCCUUUUUUUUUUUUUCUUUUGAAGAAAACACAAUAUUUUAUUUUACAAAAUAUUUAUGUCAUUUUCCCUUUAUUUUUCUUUGGGAGUGAUCGAUCAAUGUAGUGAUGUGUAAUUAAAACUGAGAUUUAUUUGUAUAAUGUUAUAAUAUAUAUAUAUAUAUAUUAUAUUAAUAUCAUGAUUUUGUGGAUGUAUAUGAUUUGUAGCAAAUUUUAUUCCACUUUGUUUGGUGAAAUAUUUAUAAUGUUUUUGCUUAUUGACGCGUGUCAAUAUUUUAUAAUGGGCAAACCAAGACUUUUUGACAAUUAAAAAAUAAAAGAAAAUUAAAUUAAAUUAAAUAAAUAAAUAAGUAAAAGGAAAGAAAUGUUUUAAUUAAUU
This 34937-nucleotide long non-coding RNA is filed under the name Cucumis sativus (cucumber). RNAcentral's name for it is "long non-coding RNA (CSAT_LNC000658)". The record is from RNAcentral. Lineage: Eukaryota; Viridiplantae; Streptophyta; Magnoliopsida; Cucurbitales; Cucurbitaceae.